GCGGAAACGGCUCGCCGCAGGGUUGGCGGACUUGAGAAGGAGCGAAGAUGGCGGAGUGAGGCGUGCCGCUGCUGACUGGCCUCUGGGCCGGGGGCGGGUCGGCCCCCGGGAGGCCGAGUGCACCUGGCGGCCCGUGCGAGGUGAGCCGAGAAGGCCGGCGACGGAAGGACGAACAGGCGGUGAGGAGGUUCCUUAUCACAAGAAGAACAUUUUCCUUGACUUUUAGGUGCUUUUAUAUUCAUCUCAAAAACAAAAUGCUGAACUCAGGACUUUGAAAGUAUCUCUUAAGUUGUCUCCUAGAGCGGGUAGUCCUGCUUCCUUUAUCCAGCUACUUUCUCUAAUCAUGAAAUGUGGAUAUCUCUUCUCUACACAUUACCUCCAUGAUUUGGAAUGGAAAAGACCAGGUUGUUUUUUUGUCCCACCUCUCAGAUUCUACAAAGAGAAGCCCUUAAGAUGCGGUUAUCCUGCCUACUUCUCCAGAAAGAGAAGCAACUGAUAUGGGUGUCUUCUGCUGCUCUUUGCUUAAUUAUAAAGAAAUUGUUUUACAAGCUGAAGGUGGAUGUUUCAUUUGAAACAGGUGCUUAGGUGGUGGUAUUUGUGAAUUCUUUUUGUUCCAAAUGAGAAGACUAAAUAAAUAGCAAAUAUGGAUGACUUCAGGGUUUUUUAAAUGUCUUCCAGUUUCAGCCACUAUCAUGAUAAGCACAGUUGAGACUGCAGCAGUGAAUUCCAAAUAUGCAUUCUAAUUUGAGAUGAAAGAUGCUAAAAAAUUACAUAUAUAUCUAUAUCCUAGCUCAUUAUGCUGUGACACAGAUUUACAGAAUAAGAACAAAGGUCUAGUUUUACAAUUAAACCUUCGAUGUGAUAAAAGAAGCAUAAAGACAAGAUGUCAACGUUAAUUUCUUAUGUGAACAUGCCUUCCCAUUGUCUGUACAAAUAUGCACUUUUACAUGUGUAAAUCCACAUUUUCGGAUCAGAAGAGGGAUUUUUCUCCCAGAGAAGGAAGCUGUUUUUGGAUUUCUUUCUCAGAAGUCUUUGGACAUUUGGUACUUAUAAAUGAUUUUCAUUCUUCUAAGGAAGUAACAGAUUGUGUAGCAAUUAACCCUAUGAAUGCAUGUUUGGGUUUAGUGAAAGGGCAGUAAAAGAAAACAGUUUGAGUCCAGUGAUGGACCUGUUCACCCCCUUAGAAGGAGAAACUGCUAUAAAUUGCUUCAUUCUUUUUUGUGGAAUCUUACAUACAUUUGAGACUUUGUUUUCCGCAUUGCUAAGACUGGAAGAAAAGUGGUAUAAGUGGUUUUUCAGUUCAGAAGAUGUGAUAAACCGAGUAGUAUGACCUGCCUUCAACUGAGGAGUAGGGGGAAUGGGGAGAAAUGAGAGAAUUUUCCAUUUUAACUCCCUCUUCUAAGAAACAAAAAUGCCUAAUGCAAAUCCAUCUAACUUUAUGUGUGUUAUAUUUUAUAGCUCCAUUUUUUUUUUUUUAAACAUAACUCUUUUCCUUAGACCCCAGACGGAUACUUGGAUGUUUGAUUUAUUCUAGGUGAUAGGUGUAAUGUUAUGCUGAAAAGGCUGGGACUCAGGUACUUUCCUCAGUUGGGACUGAACUGUCUUACCAGGGAAUUGGCUUCAGAAACAAUCUUCCCAAACUUGUGGAUGGGUCAUUGUAGUUUCAGGGCAUGGAAAAGAAACCUCAAACAAGAAAAAUUGUUCUAAUAAGAAAUAGAGAUUUUCCCCUUAACAAAGUUAUACAAUAUAAUGUACAGACUAUAGUAGAAAACUCAUUGCUUCCAAAUCAACAGAGGAACAUUGUACAUACUGUCAGGUCUUUACAUAAGAAGAGUAAAACUUUUAUGAUUCUUUGUGAGUACAGAAUGAAUUUAGAACCUCUUAGAUGAAAUUAAGAACAGAAUUAGAUCAUCUCUGUGUUUUUUAGAAUGUUUGCUUGGGGCCAUGCAUGCUGCAGUGCUGGGAACUUAGUGUAGAUUCAUCAAAAUUUGAGUGAGAGGAAUGGCCCCAAAUAGGAAAUGCUGAGCACUCUUAAUGAUUAGUGAGAUUGAUCAACCAAUUUGAAUUGGGAUUAAAAAAAAAGAAUUUUGGUAAAAUUAUUACAUGAUACAGAUGAAAUAUAAUCUCUUUUAAUUGAGGACAAUCACUAAGUCGUAAUGCAUAGAAUUAACUUUGGUUAAAGGUAACUUAAAUUUUUCUCUGAAUAAUCUCCAAGCCACUUCCUGAUGUUUUCCUUUAGAAUUUUGGAAUUGUUAAAGAUAGAAUGAAGUCUGCAUACAUGGUUCCCAAUGGUAUGUUAUGAAUAUCUUAUGAAAAAUUUAUACCUUCCAAUUAUCUGUUAUCUGUCUUCCCCAUGUCCUUUGGCAACUUUUUUGGUAGGAUUGUUGGGCAGGGGAUAGGGUACUUGUAUUCAUCAGCACCGGUGAAACCAGCUUUGGCCCUCUGGUUUGAACAGGUAUUCGACUAAGCUUCUCUAGAUGCUUUGUAUUUUUCCAUCUCUUAGUUCAGACAACUGUGUUUAAUGCUUUCAGAUUCUAUUCUGCAUCUUCCAUGGCUGAUAUUAGAUGUUACUUAACAAAGUGGGUAUAUUCCAGUUGUAGUUGCCUAAUGUUUACUUAUACCUCUGUAUUUUUUCUUGUCUAUUUUUGUUCCCUUCUUGAAGGCAAAAGCUGUAAUUUUAGGCAGGACUAUCCUUAAUAUGGAGUUGUGCAUCCUUCCUUUCCCUUGCUCUUACAUGUUAGCUGGCAGUUUCUCUUUUGAAAAGUUUGACAAAAAUGGGAUAUGUGCAAUAGGAAUAUAUAUAUAUAUAUAUGUAUAUUUUAAUACUUGUGGACAAAUGUUACAAGUUGUUUAAGAACAACAAAAUCACCAAUGUCUUCCAUUUUGAGAUGUGUAUAGUUUUGUAAGCAUUAGUGCUUGGUAGCAUAUUGUAGUGCCAUGUUAGGGGUUAGUGCAUGAACCUAGUAAUAAUUUUACACUUCAGGAUGAAUUGUUGAUUAUAACAAUAGUGUAAAAAGAGUGAAAAAUCUAGCCUUUUUUUCAUAAAUAUCCGAAUCUGUGAUAUUCUCCCUGGGGAAAGGAGAUUAAGGCCAAAUAAGUGUCAUUUUUGAAUAGAAAUGUGGGGUCAAAAUCUUGAAUAUUGUGUUUCAGGAUAUUUUGGCUUUCCAUGAGGUAGCUGGAAACCCUUUUUAUUUUAUGAAAUCUUAAAAUGAGCCCCCGUUUCCUGAUUCCGCUUGCUCUUAGUUUGAUGUGAUUUUCUUCUUAAACUGUCUUCAUAUUAAUUUGUCUUUUAGAUUAUUUUCCCAUUCCUUGUCUCUCAAAUUAUUUUACAUUUUGCAUGUCAUACUAAGAUGCCAUAUUGUUUCAGUGAGUGCUUUUUAAAUCUGCAGACCAUUUACAUUUCCUGUCUGCAGCAUGCUGUGUGUAAAUACUGUUAGUAAUUCAGAGUAUCCUAGAUUAUUUGUAAUAGGCUCUUCCUACUGCCAAAUCUGCUGAAUUGUGUAUUAAUGGAAUUUCAGACCUUUUCAUGAGAAUUGGAGAUACAGCUGGAUGGCAAGUACCUAGGUUGCUAUGAAAUAAGUAGACUCUUUGCCUUGGUUAUAGAAAGCCUCAGACAGCUUUCAUUUUUUACUACUUUCCUUGUGGACAGUUGUUCUGAAAGCGUUAAGAUAGUUUUCUAUAGAAAACGAAUUCCUACCUCUAAAAGCUACCUUGAGAACUUGGAAGUGGCAGUUUUCUGAGGUGAUUCUUAAAUCUCAGUAUUAAAGAUUUGAAUCCAGGAUUUGUUGACAUAGAUUCUAUAGCUAGUAUGAUAGGAAACACAAAACUGUUUUAAUGUGGUGUAUCUUGUAUACAAGCAAGUUAGAAUAAGAAGCUUCUGGCAGCAGAUCUCCAGGGACUCAGGUUUAGAUUCUCAUAGUAUACUUAAAGUAGUUGUACUUUGACUCAAGUAGUUUAGUGCCUGGGAGAAUCCAUUUCUGAAAAGCAUUUAAUUUUUUUAAAAAAAUACCUCUGUAAAGGUAAUAAAUGCAAAAUAGCACAGUAUAUAUAGGAAAGGAUAUUUCCUGUUGCAAAAAAAAAAAAGCCAUAAAAUGAACUAAUAAUUUUCAAGAGGUAGAAUUUUAAUAGCAAUAACAGUUUUGCUUGUAUAGUAAAUUGCAUUAACAAGGUUGUACAGUAAAAUAAGUGAAUGACUUGAGUUUGUGGGGCUCUGCAAUCAACAGAGUUGCACAAAAGGAAAAAUGUUCUGGAUAAAGAGCAUAUAAGAGGUACUUUCUUUUAAAAUAGUGUGAAUGUAUACGAAUAUAUCAUUGUUUAAGAAAUAACAACUUUUGUAUAAGUUAAAGGUUGAAAACCCUGUUUGUUUCCUAAAGCAAAGGAUGUGAGCCGUUGAAAUGAAACCUUUCUAGUGCUUAACUGGAAAACAAAUAUGCUUCUACAACUCCACUGAAGCUGUCAUGUGGGUUUUGUGCUUAAGAUAUUCUUUCUAACAACAGGCAUUUAUUCUGUAGAAUGGCAUACUUUUCUGAUUUGUCUCAUUUUUCUCCAUUACUUUCCUGUUCAUUUUUUAAAAAAGAAGAGAAAAGUUUGUGUGUUUAGUAUCUUAAUAAAACCCAAGAACAUGGAUAGCUGGAUUUUCCUAAUGUUUAUGGUUUUGAAAUUGGGAUUUAAAGGUGAAAAGUAAAAGCAUUGAAGGGAAUAGCCAAUGCCUGUAUGUUUGUUUGUGUGUGUGUUAAACCUUGUCUAAUGGAGAUGUGGCCUGUGGCCUGUGAUUGCUUAUUUUCUUAAUAAGGAGAACCCAGCAAACUAAUUUCUUUCUUGAUCUGAGGAAUCACACAGUUCAUAUCAGGUUACAAUAAUGGAACUAGGGUGAUAUCUUACUCCCAUUUACCUCACGUCCAUCUUUGCCAUUUAGCACCUUCGAGAUCCCUGAAAAGAUUGGAUUUAUGUUCCCUCGUUUUCCCAGAGGAAACAAAUACUAAAAGAUAAGUGGUAUAGAUCUAAGAAUAUAGUGUCUCUUAAAUAUUUAAUUCUUAUAUGACAACUCUUAACAGAUAGAGAAAAGGCUAUUUUAAGUUGAUUAUAGCUUCUCUUUGAGUAUCCUAUACCAUCAGUUGGUGUUAGAGACAUCGAAACAAUAUUUAGAUAUCUGCAUGAUCAUGGGGACGGGUACAUAUUACAGUGAUGUCAAUAGUUCCAUUACUUGGAACUUUUAAAGAUUACCCUUCACAGCCAUGUCAAUAGUCCUAAAUGCUAAAAUAUGCUACAAGUUGUCAUAGUCUCAAAGCAUGCAGUUAAUUUCUUUGCAAAGUUAUUGUGGUCUUAUGUUUACUCUCUAUGUACCUGUGAUAUGCAAAAUAUGAAGAGACCCUUGACCUCCAGGAGUUUACAUUCUCAUGGUGCUGUUGGUGCAAGAAAAUGGCUUCUAGUUUAAGAACAUUGCUCGGCUAUUAAUUAUACCAUAUUUGGAAGGAUCCCUUGGUAAACAAUUUUAAAAAGCAAAGAGCUAUGCUAAAUUUCAGGGCAUUGAUGCUUGAGUUUACAUUGUAUUCGCUCUGCUCUUUAUCAUCUUUUCCCCAGGGAGCUGUACAGGUAAUGCUUAUUAAUGUGAAUCAGAAAAGAAACCAUUCUGCCUAAGAGCAUCUUCAUCUCCCUACACCACCUAUGCUCUUCUAAGAUAUAGCUGUCAAUAAAUGGCCAAGAAUACUUAACUGCACCAUAAAACUGUACAUCUCUCCUUUCUCAGAGCUUUUACAUCAUUCUCUACUCAAAAGGGCAGGAUUUGCAUAUAAGCCUUUUAAAAUUGAUUAGUGGUCCUAAUUUUAACAUUUUUGUUUCUGGCUUGUACCUCUGUUCUGAAGCAGCGUUGUGACAGAUGUGCAUCUGUCUACAUUUCUAAGUAAUUAACCUAAACAUUCAGUUGAAACUUUGCAUGUUUCCUUGUUCCAUAAUUCCUCUCAAUCAAGGAGUUUACUUUGCAUGUUUGUUAAACUAAAACUGGGUUUGGUUGAAAUUGCAAGCAAUAUUGGCAGGCCCAUAACUCUGAUUUUAGAGUACUAAUAUUGUAAUGCAUGGCUGAACAUGUCCAGUGUUGUGGUUACUAGUAAUUUUACAUAUGCAUUUGUUAAUAAUGAAGCAAUAGAGACU
Microcebus murinus (gray mouse lemur) is the source of this 6147-nucleotide long non-coding RNA. RefSeq lists it as uncharacterized. The record is from RefSeq and is a predicted model, not a curated record. Lineage: Eukaryota; Metazoa; Chordata; Mammalia; Primates; Cheirogaleidae.